GGCCCCAUCGUCUAGCGGUUAGGACACCGGCCUCUCACGUCGGUAACACGGGUUCAAUUCCCGUUGGGGUCGCCA
RNAcentral lists this transfer RNA (75 nucleotides) under Polyangiaceae bacterium. RNAcentral's name for it is "tRNA-Glu". It matches the Rfam family "tRNA". From Rfam's summary of the family: Transfer RNA (tRNA) molecules are approximately 80 nucleotides in length. RNAcentral also lists the same sequence under 2 other names. Lineage: Bacteria; Pseudomonadati; Myxococcota; Polyangiales; Polyangiaceae. The record is from RNAcentral.